GCAUUGAUGUCACAGCUUCAGCAUCUGGUUCCAUUUCAUCCUUGUCAGAACUGUAAUCCGACGCGGGACGCAAAUUCCCAGCAGAUAGAGCCUCAGCAGCGUCGGCAUUACGUUGGUCAUCGUCGAGGGUGCUACCAUACUCGCUCUUGAUGGACCACGAGUCGGCGGCCACUGAGCGGUCAUCGUCAGAGACCAGAUCAACGGCGGACGGAGCAGCCCGAGCCUGCUGCAACAACUCGGCAUCCUCCGGCGUCAAUCGAAUCGCAGCCAUGAUCAGAAGAAAUGGAAGAAAAAAGAAACCCUAGAAGGAAUCUGAGGAGUUGAGUUGAAUCAGAAGAACCUUGGUUGGUACGACACU
Molecule: unclassified non-coding RNA, 358 nt
Filed under: Hevea brasiliensis (rubber tree)
Lineage: Eukaryota; Viridiplantae; Streptophyta; Magnoliopsida; Malpighiales; Euphorbiaceae
Source: RNAcentral